RNAcentral lists this ribosomal RNA (466 nucleotides) under uncultured bacterium. RNAcentral's name for it is "bacterial SSU rRNA". It matches the Rfam family "Bacterial small subunit ribosomal RNA", at positions 28 to 526 of the family's 1533-position model. The record is from RNAcentral.
AACGAACGCUGGCGGCGCGCCUAACACAUGCAAGUCGAACGCUCCGGUUUCGGCCGGGGAGUGGCGGACGGGUGAGUAGCGCGUGGGAACCUGCCCUGGGGUUCGGGACAACCGCGGGAAACUGCGGCUAAUACCGGCUACGCCCGGCGAGUGAUCGUCGGGGAAAGAUUCAUCGCCCUGGGAGGGGCCCGCGUCCGAUUAGCUAGUUGGUGGGGUAACGGCCUACCAAGGCUGCGAUCGGUAGCUGGUCUGAGAGGAUGAUCAGCCACACUGGGACUGAGACACGGCCCAGACUCCUACGGGAGGCAGCAGUGGGGAAUCUUGGACAAUGGGGGCAACCCUGAUCCAGCGACGCCGCGUGGGUGACGAAGGCCUUCGGGUUGUAAAGCCCUUUUGCCGGGGACGAUGAUGACGGUACCCGGAGAAGAAGCACCGGCUAACUCCGUGCCAGCCGCCGCAGUAAAAC